GCAAGCGUUAUUCGGAAUUAUUGGGCGUAAAGGGCGCGUAGGCGGCCUGGCAAGUGGAAGGUGAAAUCCCUCGGCUUAACCGAGGAACUGCCCUCCAAACUGCUUGGCUUGAGUCCGGGAGAGGUGAGUGGAAUUCCCAGUGUAGCGGUGAAAUGCGUAGAUAUUGGGAGGAACACCAGUGGCGAAGGCGGCUCACUGGACCGGAACUGACGCUGAGGCGCGAAAGCGUGGGGAGCAAACGGG
RNAcentral lists this ribosomal RNA (243 nucleotides) under uncultured bacterium. Its description in RNAcentral is "partial 16S ribosomal RNA". It matches the Rfam family "Bacterial small subunit ribosomal RNA", at positions 534 to 776 of the family's 1533-position model. The record is from RNAcentral.